RNAcentral lists this ribosomal RNA (201 nucleotides) under uncultured bacterium. RNAcentral describes it as "partial 16S ribosomal RNA". It matches the Rfam family "Bacterial small subunit ribosomal RNA", at positions 28 to 253 of the family's 1533-position model. The record is from RNAcentral.
GAUCAACGCUGGCGGCGUGCCUAAUGCAUGCAAGUCGCACGGGUCGCCUUCGGGCGGUCAGUGGCGAACGGCUGAGGAACACGUACGAAUCUGCCCUCCGGUGGGAAUAACGCACCGAAGGUGUGCUAAUACCGCGUACGCGCGCAAGCGGAAAGCCGCGAGGCGCCGAGGGAGGAGCGUGCGGCCCAUCAGAUCGUUGGC